UGUGGGAGCCUCUGUGUGGUGGCUCAAUUUUUUCUCUCAGUAGCCAUGGGAGGGGGAGGGGAAGGGAAGAAAAAGAGUCUAGGUGGAGGAAAGUCCACUCUCUGGUCUUCUUCAAACCUCUCUCUGGGAGGCAGUCCACCCAGAAUGACGGGUGUGUGGAAUCACUCUCAUCAUCCAGGACCCACUGCCCUCAUGUGGCUCCUGCAGUCUGGGCCAGAGUUGAGAAAUGUCUGUGUUGGGAUGAGGAAGAUGGAACCAGAAUGUUUGGGGCACCCUGGUGAAGACAAAGGCAGCAGGCAGGGGAUGGAGAACAGCUUCCUACUUUGUCUGUUGCUACCACUCCAAAGUGAAAAUCAUAAUGCCUACUUUUGCCAGAUGGGAAAUAGAAGAUGAGCUCCUUCGUUGGUGCCAGUAAUACCAGCAGGCAAGAACAUCAGAGCACGGCUGCUUCUGUUCAGUGGAUACGAAGUCGAUAAUCUGCUCCCCAAUGGACUCCACUGGAACCAUCCUGGUAUUUCAUUGCAGUUGGUGGUCCUGAUUGGAGGCUUCCGCAGCACUCUCUCCAGAGCAUAUGGGAAGAAAUUGAAGACCCAAGGAACUCAUCAUUGUGUUAUUCCCCACACCACAGGAUUUUUGCGCUUUCAAUGUGGUGAAGUUGAACACUAUAAGUGAGAGAUUGAAGAAAGCACAAGAAAGGUAUUUUAGAAAAAUUCAAACAAGUCAAUCUAUUUUUACAGGCGCAAGCAGCAUCUGAAGAAUACAGAGAACUUCACUUAGAAGUCAGAUGGAACUCAGAAUGAAAGAUCUUGAAUCUGAAGUCUCCAACAGGAAAACUUCUUGAGAAGUCUUUCAUUAUAUUGAAUUGGGAAAAUACAAGCACUUCUAUCAAUUAGAAUUGGAAGCUAGAAAAUACUUGUCAAACAAAAUUAAAAAUCUUCACAGAACUACUGAGAGACUAGCAGCAUUCAGUAGCAAUCUUUUUGUGGAGACAGGAGACCAGAACUUUCUUUACCACUCAUGGACAGUCCUAUAGUCACCUCCUGGUGGCAAUCUUAAUAAUGGUUUAGGUCUUCACAGAGAAUUUACUUCAAAAGAAUACUCAACGUUCUCUUUUUCCUGCCCAUGGACUUCACAUACCGGCAUGAAGAACAACUUGAGUGAGAUGCUGCUGGAUAUUCUCCUGUGGAAGAGCUUCUUCUCUAGAUUCACUGAUGAGUCAAAUCUAAAUGAAGACAUUCUUUAGAAAGCAUCAUGGAAAUAUGUGCCAAUUUUUAAAAAAAAAAAAUAUACAAUGUGAAAGACUUUUAAGUAGGUCUUGCAAAUGAAAGCCAGUUUUACAUCCUCAGACUGCCAAAAUGUUAGCUGUUUAUAAUUUUAAUUUUAAGCACUGAUUUAUAUGACUCUUUCUUCUUGGAGAAAUAAAAUUUGCCUAAGGCU
Lemur catta (Ring-tailed lemur) is the source of this 1437-nucleotide long non-coding RNA. RefSeq lists it as uncharacterized. The record is from RefSeq and is a predicted model, not a curated record. NCBI's taxonomy places the organism in Eukaryota, Metazoa, Chordata, Mammalia, Primates, Lemuridae. The transcript is spliced from 7 exons.